Non-coding RNA from Vicia faba (fava bean), 282 nucleotides. NCBI's taxonomy places the organism in Eukaryota, Viridiplantae, Streptophyta, Magnoliopsida, Fabales, Fabaceae. The record is from the annotation of a GenBank genome assembly.
AUGAGGGGUUUUGAUCAUACUCCAGACAUUCUACAUUCUCGUAUAAAAAAUAAUGAAGAAGUUCGAGGAAAGAUGAAGGCUCGAAUCUUACUAGUCGGAGUCGCUCCGAAGGUGUUUCACGAUCGCUGCCAACGGAAGCAGGAGUCCAGGGAGUCUUCAAGAAGUAGGGUCACGGUUUGCCCAUGGUUUUUUAUGAUGAAUUUUACGGCAAAGCUUAUAGCGGUGAGAUAUAGUAAAGUUAUUUUUGAGGCUUAUAGCAGUGGGCUUUCUGACUUACGAUAG